This is a long non-coding RNA of Pseudopipra pipra, 2266 nucleotides long. RefSeq lists it as uncharacterized. The transcript is spliced from 4 exons. NCBI's taxonomy places the organism in Eukaryota, Metazoa, Chordata, Aves, Passeriformes, Pipridae. The record is from RefSeq and is a predicted model, not a curated record.
UGGUGUUUUUCUCCCCCCUGCUGUGCUCGGUGCCUCCCCCUCUCUCUCAGACGGUGCCUAUGAGGGCAUUGCCCUGCAUUGAGCUCGGCCCCCGGCUGGUUCCUGAGAGCCCCACAUGGCUCGUUAUCCAUUUCUGAGUAGCUCGGGAACAGCCUGCCCGCUCUGACAGCUGACACAGGGGUCAGUCAAAGAGGAUGACUCACCCUCUUGCCUUCCCCAGUAAUUUGUCACCCCGCAGAUGACACAUCUUAGUGGCUCCUCCAGAGCUCUGGCAGCCCCGUGGGGAGCAGUGCCUCGGGGAUGCUCUUUUUUUAUCCUUGUUAGCUGUUUAUUCAGUUAUUAUGUGCUCCCCAAACCCUGAGGAUGGUGAUGAGCCAGAGAGGCUGGGUGCCAGGCUCUCCUUUCUGUAAGCCAGGGCAGGAGCUCAAGUGAGCCCAAAACACUGGGUACUUGGGAAGUUUGUGAGGCUCAUAUUUUUCUGUGUGUUCACCCAGAAUGCCUAUUUCUUGUUGCCUUUUUUUCCCUCAAGUUGGAGCAAGUUUAUUGACUGCAACAGGCAGGGACAUGGAGCCUUGUAGCACCAUGAUGGGUGUUUUGACAGGGAGAAAAGCUGUGAAGGAGCCUGGAUAGGAGUAAAGCCUGAAGUGGCUUGAGCUGGGGUGAGAGAAAUUGCCAAAGACUUGGUUUCAACCCCAGAUUUGAAGCAGAGAAGCUGCUUUGCUGGCUGGGGUUGUGUGUGCAUCAGUCUGGAUUAACCUGGCAGUGUAAAUCCAGCCAUGGCUGGGCUGGAAGGCAGCAGCUGGCACCAGCCUCUGGUGGUGGGACAGGGAGGAGGCUAAAUUAAAUUACAAACACAUUUCUAUUGCCUGCCUGAAUCACAGCCUGCCUUAAACAUGGAAGGUUCUGCUUGUGGAAAAGGAGGUUGUGAGGCAGCAGUGAGGGGUGACUUUGGGCAGGAAGGAGGUGUGGAUAGCCAAGAGGGGGUAAGUCUGAGAGGAAGGGCUGUGGUGCUGCUUUGGGUAGCCCAUGUGAGAGCAUGUGGGCAGGGAGGACAGGUCAUGUCCUCUUCCAGUGGAAGACGUGCCAGCCUGGCAGUCCCAGGAUGAGGGUGGGGGUGAGGACACCCAGUUGCUGAAGGGCUCAGCUGAAAAGUGGCACUGAGAGCAUUGGGGCUUGCCUGGGUUUGGCAGGAAGACAAGCAGCUUGUGCUCUUCGUUGGGCUCAUCCUAUCCACAGGUGUGGGCACUGAUGUCUCAUUCACAGACACCAGGGAGCUCUGCAGCCUCCUUGGAGCGUGAUGGGCGUUGGGUGAUUAAGGAACCUCCCACGUGAAAUGAGGUGCUCUGAGAUUAUUUCUCUAACCAGGCUGAACCCUGGGAGUGGGGCAGGGCAAACUCAGGGUGAGCUUUUCAAACAGCUGUGCAGAGGUUGUUUGAGUGUGGGAAAAGUUCAUCUCGGCGUUGAGCACUGCCUGUCAGAACAGCUCCGUGCUCAGGGCAGAGAUGAGAGGUACGAGCUGCCCCUUGGUGGCAUUCAAGAGCAUGAUGAGUUUGCAGCCGCCUGCCACGGCUGCUCUGCUUCGCUUGAAGGGGUUUGUGUUUGAUGGAUAAGGUAGUUUUGUCACAGGAGGGUGAGGAGUGAUGGUUCAUUGCCUUGAGUGUCACCUGGACCCGUGGUUGUUUCCUAAAUGAGAGGCAGCCCAAGAAGUGCUGCCUGUGGGAUUUUCUUUCCAGCUCUUUGUUUGGAGAGGGGGAAGCUUCUCACAAGAGAAACUCCUUAAGCUGCCAGACUGCUCAAGGGGAGGUUAUCACCGUGUGCUACCAGAGAAAACCCCCAGUGCUCUCCAGAAAGCCUCUCUGUCUGCUCUCCUGGGGCCGUUUCUAAUAAAGCCAACUACAGAAAAACAGAUUCAGCUUCCUCCAGAUGCAUGGAGACAAGAAGUAGAAGUUUUGCCAGUUCUCUGCAUCCUCCUCUGACUCUGCCCCAGUGAGCCCUUCCUGCUGACACUUCAGGAUCCACAGUGCAGCUCCAUCGACCAGGUUCUUCCACUGGCAGCAGACCAGGCGACACACCAGCACCAGAUCCACUGCAGGAAUUUCAGAGGCCCCGGCUGCUGAUGGAGCACCUCCGCUCUCCUCGUUAGCGAGGAUCCCCCACGCUCGGGAGAGGGACGGAGGUACCUUCCCUUUCCCACCGCAGUUCACAGCAUCCUCCCCCAGGACCGUUCCUAUUCCCCUCCGGGACCGGCCCGCAUCACCCUCCGGGA